This is a long non-coding RNA of Dromaius novaehollandiae (emu), 944 nucleotides long. RefSeq lists it as uncharacterized. The transcript is spliced from 3 exons. NCBI's taxonomy places the organism in Eukaryota, Metazoa, Chordata, Aves, Casuariiformes, Dromaiidae. The record is from RefSeq and is a predicted model, not a curated record.
UGAAGCCCUAACAAGUGCCCAUACUUGAGAGAAAGGCUUGUGACUCAAGAACCAGUGGAUUUCUUUUGAGGAAAAGGAGACAACUUGGUGUGGUCUGUCCAGCAAUUACCCAUCAGAAAUAGCUGGACUACUCACAGGUUGAAAUCUGGAGGGCGCAGACAAACACGCGACUGAGAGGUGACAACCAUGGAGUCCGAGAAUGCAAGAACAUGUCUUCUACUGCCAAGGACCAGCUGACACCCACAGAGUAGCAGAAUGGGAAAGGCUGUGUGCACCAAAAGGGAGGAAGUAUAUAAAAAGAUUUUUGUUUUCAGUCACGCUGUGACCUAAGUAACGUCCUAGUUUAAACAUUAAACUCAAGGUCAUUAACUUGUCACAGUCAUUUCUGAUUUCAAACUUUAUAGUAAAAUAAGAGUUAAGAAGGCAUGAAAAGGCUCAUUAAUUGAUAUGAUAAAGCUUGCUUAAAUGUAACCUGUUAUAUACUUCAUAUACAUAGAAACAAUGUUUUUAAAGUUAUGAAACUUCAAAACUGUAUGCAUUGUUUAAGUCAGUAUGUGCUUUGCAUGUCAUGCCUUAAAGGUGAAACCAUGUAAAAAAUGCUAGAUCCUACUUUUGCACUUCCAAGAAAACAGAAUAUCAGGGGUUUGAUUUCUCUUAUGCUAAAAAUAAAGAUAAUUUGUGAAACUAUAAUCUGAAGUCAGAAAAUGUUGGAAACAAAAGCAGUUUUAUAUUACUUAUUCAGUCACAGGCUGAUGUUUGUAGCAAAUGAUUUACGUGAGAAAAUUGACCAUGUCUCAUGCAUCACUAUUAAUUUUUACACUUUAAAAUAGGCACAAUUUAAACCGAGGGCAACAUACUCUCUUGGCAUUGUUGCUAUCUUACUGCCAGUCUCAGUGUUUUAAAGUAGGUGAAAUUACUUGGUUUCAUUUUCAUUAAAAAUCCGA